Molecule: transfer RNA, 91 nt
Filed under: Streptomyces violascens
Lineage: Bacteria; Bacillati; Actinomycetota; Actinomycetes; Kitasatosporales; Streptomycetaceae
Description: tRNA-Arg
Source: RNAcentral
GCUCGGCGCGGUCGACGGCCACCACGACAUCGCCCGCUUCGGGUGGGAGCUGGUGUCGGUCGCCGACGGCUCGGCCCCGGUCGCCGGGUUC